CAUGCAAGUCGAACGGUGAAGGAGGGCUUGCCCUCCGGAUCAGUGGCGAACGGGUGAGUAACACGUGGGCAACCUGCCCCUCACUCUGGGAUAACUCCGGGAAACCGGGGCUAAUACCGGAUACGACCUGGUGCGACAUCACACCAGGUGGAAAGAACUUCGGUGAGGGAUGGGCCCGCGGCCUAUCAGCUUGUUGGUGGGGUAACGGCCCACCAAGGCGACGACGGGUAGCCGGCCUGAGAGGGCGACCGGCCACACUGGGACUGAGACACGGCCCAGACUCCUACGGGAGGCAGCAGUGGGGAAUAUUGCGCAAUGGGCGAAAGCCUGACGCAGCGACGCAGCGUGAGGGAUGACGGCCUUCGGGUUGUAAACCUCUUUCAGCGGGGACGAAGCGAGAGUGACGGUACCCGCAGAAGAAGCACCGGCUAACUACGUGCCAGCAGCCGCGGUAAUACGUAGGGUGCAAGCAUUGUCCGGAUUUAUUGGGCGUAAAGAGCUCGUAGGCGGCUAGUCACGUCGGGUGUGAAAACUCGGGGCUCAACCCCGAGCCUGCACUCGAUACGGGCUGGCUAGAGUGUUGCAGGGGAGACUGGAAUUCCUGGUGUAGCGGUGAAAUGCGCAGAUAUCAGGAGGAACACCGGUGGCGA
RNAcentral lists this ribosomal RNA (650 nucleotides) under Sporichthya brevicatena. RNAcentral describes it as "bacterial SSU rRNA". It matches the Rfam family "Bacterial small subunit ribosomal RNA", at positions 54 to 718 of the family's 1533-position model. The record is from RNAcentral. Lineage: Bacteria; Bacillati; Actinomycetota; Actinomycetes; Sporichthyales; Sporichthyaceae.